Nannospalax galili (Upper Galilee mountains blind mole rat) is the source of this 92-nucleotide microRNA precursor. The record is from Ensembl. Lineage: Eukaryota; Metazoa; Chordata; Mammalia; Rodentia; Spalacidae.
UGUGUCAUCACAAUGCUCCAAUGUGACAUCACAGUGCUCACUGUGCCAUGACAGUGCCCCAGUGUGUCAUCACAAUGCUCAAUGUGCCAUCA